AUUGAACGCUGGCGGCGUGCCUAACACAUGCAAGUCGAGCGAAUUUAGGGGGCUUGCUCCCUAAGUUAGCGGCGCACGGGUGAGUAACGCGUGGAUGAUCUACCCAUCAAUUUGGGAUAACAGUUGGAAACGACUGCUAAUACCAAAUACGAAGUCAUUUCAUAUUUGAUUUGAAAGGCGGCCUCUGCAUAUGCUGCCGUUGAUGGAUGAGUCCGCGUUUCAUUAGGUAGUUGGUAGGGUAACGGCCUACCAAGCCUUUGAUGAAUAGCCGGCCUGAGAGGGUGAACGGCCACACUGGGACUGGAACACGGCCCAGACUCCUACGGGAGGCAGCAGUGGGGAAUAUUGCGCAAUGGGCGAAAGCCUGACGCAGCGACGCCGCGUGAGGGAUGAAGGUCUUCGGAUCGUAAACCUCUGUCAGAAGGGAAGAAGUGUAGUUGUGCUAAUCAGCAGCUAUUUGACGGUACCUUCAAAGGAAGCACCGGCUAACUCCGUGCCAGCAGCCGCCGUAACAC
This 515-nucleotide ribosomal RNA is filed under the name uncultured bacterium. RNAcentral describes it as "bacterial SSU rRNA". It matches the Rfam family "Bacterial small subunit ribosomal RNA", at positions 30 to 526 of the family's 1533-position model. The record is from RNAcentral.